GGAGGGAAACGGUGCAAAACAAAGGCUAUUCAGAUCUCUUAGGCAUUAGGAAACAGAAGCUACUGCAAAGAAAGGUCAGAGUUUUGUCAGGCCUCUGAGCCGAAGCUCGGCCAUUAUAACCCCUGUGACCUGCACAUAUCCGUCUAGAUGGCCUGCAGGAGCCAAGAAGUCUGGAGCAGCCAAAGAAAAACUACAAAGAAGUAAAACAGCCAGUCCCUGCCUUAACUGAGUAAAAUUACAAUAUUUUACUAUCGUGACUUGUCCCUGCCCUAUCUUAGUUGAUCAUUUGACUUUGUGACAUUCUUCUUCUGGACAAUAAGUCUUAUGAUCUCUCCACCAUGUACCUUGCAACCCUCUCCUCUGCUAACAGUAAAUAACUACCUUUUAUUGUAAUUUUCCAUUACCUACCCAACUCCUAUAAAGCAACCGCUUCCCCAUCUCCCUUCGCUGACUGUCUUUUCGGACUCAGCCCACUUGCACCCAAGUGAAUAAACAGCUUUAUUGCUCACGCAAAGCCUGUUUGGUGGUCUCUUCACACGGACGUGCUUGACAUUAUUAUUACUCAAAUCAGUCUCCCCAAUUAUUUGGGAACAGAGUCUUUUGUUUG
RNAcentral lists this long non-coding RNA (607 nucleotides) under Homo sapiens (human). RNAcentral describes it as "HSALNT0121263". The record is from RNAcentral. Lineage: Eukaryota; Metazoa; Chordata; Mammalia; Primates; Hominidae.